CAGCCGCCACGGGAAUACGGAGGGUGCAAGCGUUAAUCGGAAUUACUGGGCGUAAAGCGCACGCAGGCGGUCUGUCAAGUCGGAUGUGAAAUCCCCGGGCUCAACCUGGGAACUGCAUUCGAAACUGGCAGGCUAGAGUCUUGUAGAGGGGGGUAGAAUUCCAGGUGUAGCGGUGAAAUGCGUAGAGAUCUGGAGGAAUACCGAUGGCGAAGGCAGCCAUCUGGCCUAAUACUGACGCUGAGGUACGAAAGCAUGGGGAGCAAACAGGAUUAGAUACCCCUGUAGUCCCUGUCUCUUAUAC
Molecule: ribosomal RNA, 301 nt
Filed under: uncultured bacterium
Lineage: Bacteria
Description: partial 16S ribosomal RNA
Rfam family: Bacterial small subunit ribosomal RNA
Source: RNAcentral